UACGUAGGUGGCAAGCGUUGUCCGGAUUUACUGGGCGUAAAGAGCGCGCAGGCGGUCGGAUUAGUCGCGUGUGAAAGCCCCCGGCUCAACUGGGGAGGGUCACGCGAUACUGUUCGACUCGAAGGCAGGAGAGGGAAGUGGAAUUCCCGGUGUAGUGGUGAAAUGCGUAGAUAUCGGGAGGAACACCAGUGGCGAAGGCGACUUCCUGGCCUGUUCUUGACGCUGAGGCGCGAAAGCUAGGGGAGCAAACAGG
RNAcentral lists this ribosomal RNA (253 nucleotides) under uncultured bacterium. RNAcentral's name for it is "partial 16S ribosomal RNA". It matches the Rfam family "Bacterial small subunit ribosomal RNA", at positions 524 to 776 of the family's 1533-position model. The record is from RNAcentral.